Paramuricea clavata is the source of this 243-nucleotide non-coding RNA. The record is from the annotation of a GenBank genome assembly. Lineage: Eukaryota; Metazoa; Cnidaria; Anthozoa; Malacalcyonacea; Plexauridae.
UAAAGAACUUUAAUUAAAGAACUUUAAAUUACGAAAAUGAAUUAUGAAAAAGAACUUUAAAUUACGAAUAUUACUGUACCUUUUGUUAUUUGCAUGUGUGUGUGUGUGUGUGUGUGUGUGUGUGUGUGUGGGGAAUAAGUGUAAUUGUGUUAUCCCUCAAGGGGGCGCACAAAAAUUUUAGCAUCUAAUUUUUCAUUUCCCCCCCUCUCCCCUGUAACUAAUGACUGGCGCCUAAAGCUUUAA